This 481-nucleotide ribosomal RNA is filed under the name uncultured bacterium. Its description in RNAcentral is "partial 16S ribosomal RNA". It matches the Rfam family "Bacterial small subunit ribosomal RNA", at positions 28 to 507 of the family's 1533-position model. The record is from RNAcentral.
GAUGAACGCUGGCGGCGUGCUUAACACAUGCAAGUCGAACGAAGCACUUUAUUUGAUUUCCUUCGGGACUGAUUAUUUUGUGACUGAGUGGCGGACGGGUGAGUAACGCGUGGGUAACCUGCCUUGUACAGGGGGAUAACAGUUGGAAACGGCUGCUAAUACCGCAUAAGCGCACAGCAUCGCAUGAUGCAGUGUGAAAAACUCCGGUGGUAUAAGAUGGACCCGCGUUGGAUUAGCUAGUUGGUGAGGUAACGGCCCACCAAGGCGACGAUCCAUAGCCGACCUGAGAGGGUGCCCGGCCACAUUGGGACUGAGACACGGCCCAAACUCCUACGGGAGGCAGCAGUGGGGAAUAUUGCACAAUGGGCGAAAGCCUGAUGCAGCGACGCCGCGUGAGCGAAGAAGUAUUUCGGUAUGUAAAGCUCUAUCAGCAGGGAAGAUAAUGACGGUACCUGACUAAGAAGCACCGGCUAAAUACGUG